CAGUCUUUCUAAAGUAGAAACCAGCCUUCUUCCUUAACAACCUUUGGCUUUGCUAACUUUAAAUACAGAGGACGGGAAAACUGGGAGCCACGUGGCCCAUGGAAAGGAAUCCUUUUUUCUCUUGUAUUUAGGAUGGUCACUUGUAUUUUAUGCAUGUUUCUCAGUGACCUUAAAAAAUACAAAGUAAGGGUGGUAUUCUUUGGAUUCUUUAGGCAGGCAAGCCCAAUAGUGAAUAGAAAUGCCUGAAAUAGUCUGCAGGGUCUUGCCUGAUAGGCUGAGUCACUUAAAAUCUGAGCAGAAGAGAGGUGGGCUCUCUCUCGACUUUGUGUAAAGUAGAAUCCAUUAAAAAUGCCUUUACAUUUUAAUUGAAAGAGUUUUCAUUCACCAGGUGUUUUGAGUCAGGUCUGAGAAAUAGCCCCAUUGGCUAAAACAUUCUCAACUGUCUGCCUUUCCUGCCUGGCAGAAUUCUCCACAAGUUUGUACCUUAAUGCUGUUCUUCAGUCAUGUACUGUUGCUGGAAAUGAAGAUAUCAGGAUUCACUGAAAUGUAGCCGUGUCCUCAUGCAAAAUGAAUUCUCCAGGAAAUAAGCAGCAGAGAGUUUUCUGAUCAGUGUCUGUCAUGGAGAGACUUUCUAAUUAGGUAGUGUGAGAAGGACACAAGGUUUACAUGGAUGACACUUUGCUGACCACUUUAAAAAGAACGAAAUGUCCUGCAACCACUUCCAAAGCCAGGAGAAGGCCUCCAAGACUGAAGAGGUAAGCUGCCUUUGGUAGAACAGCCCUUGAGCAACAGAGCAGGGAA
Molecule: long non-coding RNA, 801 nt
Filed under: Marmota monax (woodchuck)
Lineage: Eukaryota; Metazoa; Chordata; Mammalia; Rodentia; Sciuridae
Source: RNAcentral